This 715-nucleotide ribosomal RNA is filed under the name uncultured bacterium. RNAcentral describes it as "bacterial SSU rRNA". It matches the Rfam family "Bacterial small subunit ribosomal RNA", at positions 8 to 767 of the family's 1533-position model. The record is from RNAcentral.
AGAGUUUGAUCCUGGCUCAGAGCGAACGCUGGCGGCAGGCUUAACACAUGCAAGUCGAGCGGGCGUAGCAAUACGUCAGCGGCAGACGGGUGAGUAACGCGUGGGAACGUACCUUUUGGUUCGGAACAACACAGGGAAACUUGUGCUAAUACCGGAUAAGCCCUUACGGGGAAAGAUUUAUCGCCGAAAGAUCGGCCCGCGUCUGAUUAGCUAGUUGGUGAGGUAACGGCUCACCAAGGCGACGAUCAGUAGCUGGUCUGAGAGGAUGAUCAGCCACAUUGGGACUGAGACACGGCCCAAACUCCUACGGGAGGCAGCAGUGGGGAAUAUUGGACAAUGGGCGCAAGCCUGAUCCAGCCAUGCCGCGUGAGUGAUGAAGGCCCUAGGGUUGUAAAGCUCUUUUGUGCGGGAAGAUAAUGACGGUACCGCAAGAAUAAGCCCCGGCUAACUUCGUGCCAGCAGCCGCGGUAAUACGAAGGGGGCUAGCGUUGCUCGGAAUCACUGGGCGUAAAGGGUGCGUAGGCGGGUCUUUAAGUCAGGGGUGAAAUCCUGGAGCUCAACUCCAGAACUGCCUUUGAUACUGAAGAUCUUGAGUUCGGGAGAGGUGAGUGGAACUGCGAGUGUAGAGGUGAAAUUCGUAGAUAUUCGCAAGAACACCAGUGGCGAAGGCGGCUCACUGGCCCGAUACUGACGCUGAGGCACGAAAGCGUGGGGA